GUGGAUUAGUGGCGAACGGGUGAGUAACACGUGAGUAACCUGCCCUUAACUCUGGGAUAAGCCUGGGAAACUGGGUCUAAUACCGGAUAGGAGCGCCKACCGCAUGGUGGGUGUUGGAAAGAUUUAUCGGUUUUGGAUGGACUCGCGGCCUAUCAGCUUGUUGGUGAGGUAAUGGCUCACCAAGGCGACGACGGGUAGCCGGCCUGAGAGGGUGACCGGCCACACUGGGACUGAGACACGGCCCAGACUCCUACGGGAGGCAGCAGUGGGGAAUAUUGCACAAUGGGCGCAAGCCUGAUGCAGCGACGCCGCGUGAGGGAUGACGGCCUUCGGGUUGUAAACCUCUUUCAGUAGGGAAGAAGCGAAAGUGACGGUACCUGCAGAAGAAGCACCGGCUAACUACGUGCCAGCAGCCGCGGUAAUACGUAGGGUGCGAGCGUUAUCCGGAAUUAUUGGGCGUAAAGAGCUCGUAGGCGGUUUGUCGCGUCUGUCGUGAAAGUCCGGGGCUUAACCCCGGAUCUGCGGUGGGUACGGGCAGACUAGAGUGCAGUAGGGGAGACUGGAAUUCCUGGUGUAGCGGUGGAAUGCGCAGAUAUCAGGAGGAACACCGAUGGCGAAGGCAGGUCUCUGGGCUGUAACUGACGCUGAGGAGCGAAAGCAUGGGGAGCGAACAGGAUUAGAUACCCUGGUAGUCCAUGCCGUAAACGUUGGGCACUAGGUGUGGGGACCAUUCCACGGUUUCCGCGCCGCAGCUAACGCAUUAAGUGCCCCGCCUGGG
Molecule: ribosomal RNA, 778 nt
Filed under: Micrococcus sp. C237-7-2-2
Lineage: Bacteria; Bacillati; Actinomycetota; Actinomycetes; Micrococcales; Micrococcaceae
Description: bacterial SSU rRNA
Rfam family: Bacterial small subunit ribosomal RNA
Source: RNAcentral